AGUCAGGUCCCCUGCAAGAGCAGUGAGUGACCUUAGCCACUGAGCUAUUUAGCACUUAGCCAUUUCUCUAGCAUACAAGAUAUGUCAUUCUCUUUAACAAAUGUGAUGGAUUGGGUAGUUUAAAAUAAGAGAAAAAUUAAUUAAAUGUAUUAUGUAUAUAUUUAUGUAUGUAUGGUUACAGUUGGAGUCAGAGACAAGGGGCAGACGAUGGCACCCUGUGGGCUGAGGGGCAGCAAUAAACCAUGAUGGCAAUAGAGGAUCCGAGAUGGUGAGGACAGACACUUGAGCUGAGGAAGCAGUGCUAUCCACUGUGUUCCUCCUCUUAAGGAUGUAGGUAAUGUGGGAAGAUGGAGGGCUGACAGGAGAUGCUUGUAGGAGAUUCCCAGGGAGGUGUCUAAGAAACACUUUCAGCUACUUUCCCAAAGCUAAGUGUUUCCAAAGAUGCUUGAAACAGUUGUGUAGAGAACAGGAUGGACCAAACUGGGAGAUGACUGAGCACCGGAUGUCCCUUGCAAUUCUCAGAGUGCCAUGAGGUGAGACCUCUGUGACAUCACAGGGUAAAUCCCUGCCUUAGUAAUAGCAGACUGCUUAGCCUGAGGAUAACUCAGAGUCCAGCAAGGAGGGCUGGGAUUCACACUUUGCAUGUGUGUCUGCCUAGGCUUGGGAUGUUUUCUGGGAUGGACUACCUGAAAUUCGUCACGUGAGUAGCUUACUCGGUGCGAAGCACUUCUUCACUGGGGUCUUAAGCGGGGGAGGCAGAAAUAGGGAGAGGGACUUAAAGUGUUUCGGAUUGAACACAGCUCUAAGAUUGUCUUCAAGAGCGCUAAGGAGAGCUAGAAACAGAUCAGAAGUCUCACAGUAAUGGGAAUGGCCACUCAAGACUGUAGGAAGUAGAACCCCUCACUCACCAGGAGGAGAGGCCUUGGAAAGAAGCCACAUAUAUACAUCUGGACCAGGACUUGAGCCCCCAGACUAGAUCAGGAAGGCAGGAACAGUGCUUUUGCCACACCCACAUUUGACCAUCACACAUAGCUUGUCCAGGGAAGGAGGCAGAGCAUCUUCCCUGGUGACUUCAGGCCAUGGCAAUAGCAAUCUUUGCAUGUGUACUCAGAGAGCUGCCACAAUAUGAGUCAAACAUCAAUGCCAGUACCACAGGAAACGCCAUGACAGCACCUACCCCUCUCAUUCUGUACUUAAAUACAUGUUUUCACUUUGUAGGUGUGUCGUACACGUUCUCAUGUAUGUGCUCAUGUCUGCAGGUCUACAUCCAUAUGUGUGAAAGUGCAUGAGGAGGACAUGGAAUGAUACCACAUAUCUUGCUACAAAUAUGUAUAAACAGUUGCUGUUUGUGGUCCCCCUCGCACCCACGAAUAACUGGGUCCUGCUGGAUGGAACAACACAUGCCAUUUAGAAUGUAACACCAUGUUUCUGCAGUUGAAAGAAGCGUUUCAGAAGAGGACCACUAAGUGAUGGUAGGAAGAAUUUAAUAUUUACCCAUUAAAGUAAAAUAUUAUUCAAAUAGAGGGACACUUCCUUCUCUUAUCUCAUGUUCAUCUCACAAGUGAAUUAAAGCCAUUAUAAGGAAUUGUUCUUUUAUUAGUUGCAGCAAAUCACAUGCUUAGCAGAUUUACUAUCUCCUGAAUAUCACCACUACCAUCACCAAACACUUACAGGGAACCUAUUGUAGACAGGAGAUGUAGUGCUAGGAGUUUUGCAUCUUUCUGGAAAGAUGGCAUAUUUAUAACAGAGACAGAUAGUAAUACAUUGGGUGUCAAACAACAAAUGAAACUUAAAAUAUGUGUAAUUGGAGUUUGACCAGGAGUCAUCAGAAGGAGGUGAGGGUUGGUCAGGGCUAUAUAGCAGAAGGCAUCUACUGUGUGCACUAUAGAGGAAAGGGAGUAGGAUCAGAUCAGGGAGUGUUAUGAGCAUAAGAGCUGAGCACAGGUGGCCCCAGAGUCUUAUUAUGCUUGAGUUUAUUGAUCUGUAAACAAUGCAGAGAUAUACAUUGAACUGGUAGGCUGGCUAGAGUAUUUACUAACCCUCAUGCGGUGCUUUGAAUGAGAAUGGCCCCAUAUGAGGUCAUUCAUAUGUUUGAGUACUUGGUCCCAGGUCAUGAAUUGUUUGGGAAAGAUUGGAAGGUGUGUGCUUUGUUGGUGGAGGUGUGUUACUGAGGGGCAGCAGGACGGAGUGCUUCAAGUGUCCAUUCACAGUGUAUUUUUGCUCUACUUCCUGUUUUUGGACUGGGAUAUGAACUGUCAGGCCCUGCUCCAGCACCCAGCCUGCCUGUGGCCAUGAUCCUUGCCAUGAUGGUAAUAGGCUCCUUCCCCUGCACUGUAUGGCCCAAAUAAACUGUUUUCCUAUUAAA
Molecule: long non-coding RNA, 2365 nt
Organism: Mus musculus (house mouse)
Lineage: Eukaryota; Metazoa; Chordata; Mammalia; Rodentia; Muridae
Product: RIKEN cDNA 4930533I22 gene
Exons: 3
Source: RefSeq, a predicted model, not a curated record